GGGUAUAUAGCUCAAUGGUAGAGUGCCUGCUUAGAUGCACGAGGUCCUGGGUUUGCUCCCUAGUACCUCCA
Molecule: transfer RNA, 71 nt
Filed under: Camelus bactrianus (Bactrian camel)
Lineage: Eukaryota; Metazoa; Chordata; Mammalia; Artiodactyla; Camelidae
Also listed under: 2 other names
Rfam family: tRNA
About the family: Transfer RNA (tRNA) molecules are approximately 80 nucleotides in length.
Source: Rfam by way of RNAcentral